This 99-nucleotide ribosomal RNA is filed under the name uncultured bacterium. Its description in RNAcentral is "partial 16S ribosomal RNA". It matches the Rfam family "Bacterial small subunit ribosomal RNA", at positions 1384 to 1482 of the family's 1533-position model. The record is from RNAcentral.
UACACACCGCCCGUCAAGCCAUGGAAGUUGGUUCUACCUUAAGCUGCUGUGUUAACCGCAAGGAGACAGGCAACCACGGUAGGGUCAAUGACUGGGGCU